Balaenoptera acutorostrata (minke whale) is the source of this 10318-nucleotide long non-coding RNA. RefSeq lists it as uncharacterized. Lineage: Eukaryota; Metazoa; Chordata; Mammalia; Artiodactyla; Balaenopteridae. The transcript is spliced from 9 exons. The record is from RefSeq and is a predicted model, not a curated record.
UUUAACCUAGGAUUCCAUUCCCACCUCACUCUCUUUUCAUGACUGCAGAGGGUACUUGGGACUGUUAAUGGGCUCAAUUAGAGCUACAGCCCCUUCUGUUAGUCCAGAUUCCCAUGCCCUCCUACUCAAUCUGCAUUACCAAAGGGAGUACAAUGGAUUGUUUAUGUGCUUAAAUGGAGCUACAGUCCCUUAUGUAACCUAAGAUUCCAUUUCCACCUAACUCCCUUUCCUGACUGCAGAAGGUACUUGGGACUGUUAACGAGCUUACUGCAGCUGCAUUCCCUUCUGUUAGUGUACAUUCCCAUCCUCUCUUACACAGUUUGCAUUACCACAAACUGUAUAACUAUUAAUGUGCUUAAAUGCAACUACAGUCCCUUAUGUUUACCUAGGAUCCCAUUCCCACCUAACUCCCUUUCCAUUAAUGCAGAGCCUACAUGGGACUUGUUAAUGGGCUUAAUUGCACUGCCCUCCCUUCUAUUAGCCUAGAUUCCCAGGCUGUCCUCGAUUUGCAUUACCAAAGGGGGUAUAAUGGACUGUUAAUGUGCUUAAAUGCAGCUACAGUCCCCCUUUUUUUUUUUUUUUACCUAGGAACCCAUUCCUACCUAACUCCCUUUUCAUGACUGCAGAGGGUACUUGGGACUGUUAAUGGGCUUUAUUACAGCUACAGUCCCUUCUGUUAGUCUAGAUUCCCAUCCACUCCUACACAACUUGUAUUACCACAGACUGUACAAGGGACUGUUAACGGGCUUAAAUACAGCUACAGUCCCUUAUGUUAACCUAGGGUCCCAUCUCCAACUAACUCCUUUUGCAUGACUGCAGAGGGUACUUGGGACUGUUAUUGGGCUUAAUCACAACUACAGUCCCUUCUCUUAGUCUAGAUUCCCAUCCCCUCCUACAGAUUUACAUUACCACAGAGGAUACAAGGGACUGUUAAUGUGCUUAAAUGCAGGUAUAGUCCCCUUUAUUUUUUCACCUAGGAUCCCAUUCCCAACUAACCCCCUUUGCAUUACCACUGACUGUACAAGGGACUGUUAACGUGCUUAAAUGCAAUUAUAGUCCCUUAUGGUAAUCUUGGAUCCCACCCCCAACUAACUCCCUUUGUAUGACUGCAGAGAAUACUUGGGACUUUAAAUGUGAUUGAUUGCAGCUACAGUCCUUUCUGUUAGUCUAGGAUCCGUUCCCUUCCUUCCUGAUUUGCAUUACCAGAGAGGGUAGAAGGGAUGGUUAAUGUACUUAAAUGGAUGUACAGUCCCUUAUGAUAACCAGGAUCCCAUUUCCACCUAACUCCCUUUGCAUUACCACAGAGGCUACAAAGUACUGUUGAAGUGCUUAAAUGCAGCUACAGUCCCUUAUGUUAACCUAGGAUCUUGUUCCCACCUAACUCCCUUUGCAUGACUGCAGAGGGUAUUUGGGACUAUUAAUGGGCUUUACUGAAGCCACAGUCCCUUUUCUUAGUCUAGGAUCCCAUCCCCUCCUACAGGAUUUACAUUACCACGGAGGGUACAAGGGACUGUUAUGGUGCUUAAGUGCAGGUAGAGUUCAAGGAUCCCAUUUCCACCUGCCUCCAUUUGCAUUACCAAAGAGGCUACCAGGGACUGCUAAUGUGUUUAAAUGCAGGUACAGUGCCUUGAGUUAACCCCGAAAUCCCGCCUAACUCCCUUUUCAUGACUGCAGAUGGUAAUUGGGACUGUUAACAAGCUUUAAUGCAGCUACGGUUUCUCUCUUAAUCUAGAAUCCCAUUCCCUCCUACUUGAUUUACAUUACCACAGAGUGUACAAGGGACUUUUAAUGUGCCUAAAUGGCACUACAGUCCCUUAUGUUACCUAUGAUCCCAUUCCCACCUAACUCCCUUUGCAUGACUGCAGAGGGUACUUGGGACUGUUAAUGCGUUUACCUGCCUAUACAGUCUCAUCUGUCGGUCUAGAUUCCCAUGCCCUCCUACUCAAUUUGCAUUAUAAAAGAGGGUACAAAGGACUGUUAAUGUGCUUAAAUGCAGUUACAGUCCCUUUGUAAGGUGGGAUUCCAUUCCCAUGUAACUCCCUUUGCAUCAUCCCAGAGGCUACAAGGGACUUUCAAUGUGCUUAAAUGCAGGUACAGUCCCUUAUGUUAACCUUGAAGUACGUUCCCACCUAACUCCCUUUUCAUCACUGCAAAGGGUACUUGGGACCGUUAAUAGGCUUCACUGAAGCUGCUGUCCCUUCUGUUGGUCUAGAUUCCCUUUCCCUCCUUGAGUUGCAUUACCACAGUGUACAAUGGACUGUUACUGUGCUUGAAUGCAGGUACAGUCCUUUUUUUUUAAACCUAGGAUCCCAUUCCCACCUAACUCCCUUGCAUUUCUGCAAAGGGCACUUGGGACUACUUUAAUUGGACUCCUGUCCAUUCUGUUAGUCUGGGAUCCCAUCCCCUCCUACUUGAUUUGCGUUUCCACAGAGGCUACAAGGGACUGUUAAUGUGCUUAUUAAAUGCAGGUACAAUCCCUUAUGUUAACCUAGGAUCCCAUUCCCACCUAUCUCCUUUUGCAUGACUGCAGAGGUAUAUGAGACCUUUAAAGUGGUUAGUGACAGCUGUAGUCCCAUCUAUUAAGUGUACUUUCUCAAGCACUCCAAUUCCCUCACGUAACUUUGGAACAUAUUUGGGACUGUCACUGUGCUCGUUUUUAGCUGUGGUCCCUUCUGUAAUUCUAGGAUCUCAUCCCUUUCUACUCAUUUGUAUUACUUGUUGGUAUUGGGACAGAAAGGUGCUUAAAUGCAGCUGUAAUCCAUUUUGUUAAUCUAGGAUUCCAUGCCCUCUAACUCCCUUAACAUUACCUAGGAGUGUAUUUGGGACUGUUGAAGUGCUUAAUUGCAUCUGUGGUCCCUUCUGUUAGUCUCACUUCCCAUGCCCUCUUACUCCCUUUGCAUUACAGCAGAGGGCACUUGGGACUAUUAAAGUGUUUAAUUGCAGCUGUGGUCCCUUCUCUUAUUCUGGGGUCCAUUCCCCCCAGCUUUGUUUGCAUUACCACAGAAGGUACUUGGAGCUGUGAAUGUGUUUAAAUGCAGAUGUGGUCCCUUUUGUUAGUUUUGGAUCCCAUGACUCCCUUUACAUUACCUGGGAGGGCAUUUGGGACUGUCAUGAUGGUAAUUGCACCUGUGUUCCCUUCUGUUGGUCUAGGAUCCCGUUACCUCCUACUCCCUUUGCAUUACAUGGGAGCGUUUUGGGGACUCUUAAGAUGCUUAACUGCAACUAUAGUCCUUUCUGUUAGUCUAAUUUCCAGUCCCUUUCUACUCUCUUUGCAUUACCACAGAGGGUACUUGGGACUGUUGUGGUGCAUCCCAUCCUCUCACACCCUGUCAGCAUUACAGCAUAGGGUCCUGAACACCAAGGCCCCUUCUUUUCACUGUUAAUGCACAGUUGCAUUUGUCCUUCUUCCUCUGCAGUAUAUAAAGACCUCACUAAUUUCCCUUUUAUUCAGUGGUGGAUGCCCUUUACUCAAGACCUUUGUACUAGAAUAAAGUGAACCAUGGUAAUUGACCACAAAUAUAUCUUUCACUUAAGUCCCUUGUACUCUCUUUGUUUUAUAAGAAGAUGUAUUAAUUACCUCCGUUACUUUUUCUGGGAGUAUUUACAUGCAAAAUUCCAGUGUUCAAGGCCCCUCUCUUUAAACUAAUAUCCCUCCCUUUCUGUAUUAUAUCAGGGGAUGUUAGUGACUCAGAGUCCUUCUCUUGGGACUCAUUGUGCAUGUGCCCUCAUGACAAGCUAAUAUCUUGAGUUCUUAGUAUUAUAGGAGGGACUACUGACUAGUUUCUCUUUUGGACAGUUAAUGUGCAAAAUUACACUAGGAUCCCAUCCCAUUUCACCUCCUUUGCAUCAGGGGUCCUGAUCAAUUGUGGCUGCUUCUCCUCUAGAGUUUAAAUGUGCAUAAUUUCAGUAACCCAUGCUCCCUUAUGUUAGAUUAGGAUCCCAUUUCCUUGCCCCAUUUACGUUACUGCAGGGGCUUCUGACUAGCCAAGAUUCGUUUUCUUGGACUGUUAAUGUGUAUACUUACAUUUGCUCCUGUACCUGUACACCAGGUAAGGACCCUCCCCAUUCUAUUUAUAUUCCAGCAGGAGGUGCCUACUACUCAAGAUCUUACACACUACUGCAGUUAAUGUGCACAAUCUUAGUUGUCUUGUACACAUUCUCAGUUGUCCACAACUGUGCUUUUUAGAUCAGGACUCCACUUAUUGAAGCACAGGUUACUUACUACCUUAAAGCCCUUGUUUUGGGACUGUGACUAUGUGUAAUUACAAUUGUCCAUGGUCCUUUGAGUUAACUUGUGUCCCUGACUCUUUUCACAUUCUCUUUGCUUUACUGCAUGGGGUACUGUCCACUUAAGGCCCCUUUCUCAAAUACGUGUAAUGACAAUUACAUUAGGAUCCUUCCCCUUCAAACUCCUUUGAAGUACCACAAAGAUUUUGACCCCUAAGGUCCCAUUUCUUGUCCUGUUAUUGUAUUUGUCUGGGUUCCUGUGCACUAGACAAGGACACCUCUCCAUUCCCUGUCCUUCCAGCAGGAAGUGCCCCAUCCACAAGACUGUUAAAUUUGGACAGUCAAGGUGUACAAUUGUAACUGACCACAACCAGUCACCUUGGGCAUUAAUGUGCAUAAUUGCACAUGGCUCAUGCCAUAUGGAUAAGAUCCUAUCCUCUCAGACCCCUUUUGUAGUACAGCAGGGGUACUGAUCACUAAGGCCUCUUUUUAUGGCUUGUUAUUGUGCAUAAUUGCAUUUGUGCAUGUUCCUGUACACUAGAUGGGGACACCUAUCUCCCCACUCCCUUUGCCUUUUAGCAGGGAGUACCCGCUACUCUAAGAUCCUUAUAUUUGUACAAGGUAUACGAUUUUAAUUGACCACACCAUGUCCCUUCGACAUUAAUGUACAUAAUUGCAACUUAGUUCAUCUUAUCCUGUUGCCCUCCAUUUGCAGUCUACCAGGGUUGCUGACUCCUAAAUCCCCAUUCCUUGGCCUGUUAAUGUGCAUAAUUGCAUUUGGUUCUUGGGCAGUAGACAAGGAUCCCCUCCCCCCCCCCCAUUUCCUAUGCCUUCCAGUAGGUUGUGCCCACCACCAAGACCUUUCUAUUUGGACAGUUAAUGUGCAGAAUUGCAGUUUUCCACAACCCUGUUACUUCUAGGACUAUUUUAUCUCCUUUGUAAUACUGCAGGGGAUACUGUUUUCCCCCAAGGUCCCUUCUAGUGGACCGUUAAUAAACAUAAUUGAAAUUGUUGUCUUUAUCAGUAGACUAAUGUCAUAUCCCCUCAGCUAACUAUCAUGACCUCAGCUCUUGGACAAUUAAUACGCACCAAUAACAUAUCAAAAGUACGAUCAUUAGAUAGGACCCCUCUACCCUCACUGUAUACAUCAGGGGUACUGACUAAGGCCCCUUUUCUGGACUGAUAAUGUGAAUAUUUGCAAUUAUCUAUUCUCCCUUCUUAUUAGAGUAGGAUAGCAUCCCCUUGCACCCCCUUUGCAUUACUGCAGGGGCUGCUAAUGACACAAAACUUCUACUGGGACUGUGAUGAGCACAAUGGCAAUUAGCAAUGGGUUUUUCCUCCCUGGCUUUGUUAGGCAAGCAUUCCCAGCUCCAGUUUCCCAUGGCAUAAUAAAGUAUAAACACUGCAGUAUGCUGUGAACUUGUCCAUCAAACAGCGACCCAUACUCCCACUCCUUUUGCAUUGGCUCCAGUGUAUCAAAUUUCAAGUAGUCAUAGUCUUGCCAUUAUCUUCCCUCUCCAGACCCCUUGCGUGCCCUUGGACCCUUCUUAUGGAAUAUUAAUGCUCACAAUUUCAGGUGUCCAUGUAUCCAGAUAAGACUGUGCUCUCUUGCCCCACCUGCUCUUGCCCUGCCCUGCCCCUUUUGCAUUGUUGCUGGGAAGUGUUGACUGAGCAAAAUGCUUUUCUCUUGGACUUAAAACGUUAACAAUCUCAGAUGUCAUUGUUUUGCCCAUUUUGAAUUUCUGUAAUACCUUGGUUGCACUUUCUUUGGUCCAGCCUAUUAGACAUGGACCCUUCCACUUCCUUCUUUGCAUUACUUCUGAGUAGUGCUGACCUCCCACAACCCCUUUGGUGUUAUUAACACAGUAUUAAUUGUCCCAUUUUUUAGCCCAUCAGCCCCAGAUCUCCCUACCACUUUGACAUUGUAUUUGUGCAGCAUUGACUACCAAAAGCAGGCCUGAACUAGGUGGCUGGGCCUUCACUCCUUUUCCUGCAUUUGUUAAUGAUCCCAGUUCCAAUUAUUUUCACAUUCUGGGGACAGGAACCAUUCCUGCCCCCCUCUUACUGCUUUACUAGGCAAAAUGCCCAAGGCAAGUCAGACCCAAGGGAACUGGAUUGCUACCCUUUAUUUUGGGUUUUCAUUAUACAUAAGUAUCAAUUGAAAAUUGUCUCCCCAGGAAGGAAGUUUAGCACUAUCUGCAUUCUUCCUUUCAAAGCAGAUUGCCUGGCAAAGAAUCUCUCCUCUCCUCUUGUAUAUUGCCAUUGUAUGGUGUCAACUGCCAAGAUACAACCAAAAAGUUGCUGUUAAUUUUUUAUGUUGUAAGGAAGAUUGCAAGGUAGAAUUGAUAACCUGGUCGUUGAAAUUUUGAAGUCUAAAAACCUAUUUAUACCAUGUACCUGAUGACCAGUGUCUCUCAUUUUACUAAGGGUGGUGGGUCUGUGGAUAGACCACUGUGACUUUGAUAUUUUAGUAUGAUCAAAGGAGUUCUAGAGUGGAACUUUUAAGACCAGUAUCUUUGGGCUCUACCACCAUUUUCAAACCAUUCCUUGUUUGGGCUUUAACAAUUUUCACUUGUAGAAAAACUACCUAAACUUCCUAAUCCUUAAAUUUUUUCAUCUGGAGCUCCAACCAGCCCCUACUUAUUUCAAGAAGAUUGCUGUAAAAGGAUAAAAUGAGAGAACAUAUGCUGAGGUGCUUUUGAAAACCAUAGAUCAAUUUAUUUGAUUAAUCUAUUACAUAAAAUGCCCCCUGUUUAAUUCUGCUAAUUUAAAGUAGCCUAAAGCACCACACUGAAGUGAGGACUUAGAAAUGAUGGAACCAGUUUCCCCAUUUUAUAUGAAAAGAAAAAUAAGCCAAGAUCUAAUCAUUCUUUCAGAUAUAAAUUUCAACAGUGAGAUAGCUGCCUGGUAAAAAUGAAUAAUAUUCCAGCUCUAGUGUACAGGGUGUUUGGUGGCAUAGAAGUAUUUAAUAUGGAACUGCUGGAGCAAAUAACUAGUUAUCACUACAGCAGUUCUUUGUAAUCACUGAGAAAGGAUACUCUUCUCUGAGAAGGAUGUCAAAAGAUUCGCCCAGCUCAGGGUGCUGUUUGCACUACUAGCUCCUUGGACAGCUGUAAGAAGUCUCUGGCUCUUUAGAAUACUGGAUGAAUUCUGAGCUGGUACCCCCACUCAAGAGGAAGGAUGGAUCGAUUUUAGGUGGAUUGAAGCCUGCCCUAGACAGCAGCCAAAGUCCUUCUGUGACACUGCCAGUGCUUGCCAUUACAGGACCUUAAGGAAACAACAGGCUAGAGAGGAGAGACAGGAGACACCUAUAUCUAAUGCUUCAGGACAUUCUGAGCAUGUGAGACCUGAGGAACUGCAAGCAGCUUUAAGAAGCUCUACAUUCAACAGGUCUUUCCUUUUGAGAAUCUGGAUAAGCUCCAACCAAUCUAAGAGGAUGGCUUGCCGGCUCCCUGGAGAAAAAGAUCUUCCUCAGAAGAAUAGGCUUGUUGCUUUACAGUGUUAAUGACCCAUUCCCUUUGACGAUCCCUAGGUGGAGAUGGGGCAUGAGGAUCCUCCAAGGGAAAAGCUCACUAUCACUGAGCAACAAUCCUAGGCCAGGAGGUUCUACCAAGAUUCUUUCCUGGGCCCAGUUAGGAAGAUGAAAUCUCAAGACAACCACCACACAUCCAGAGGAGAACAUGGACAACAACUGCCACAUCUGUGACAUUGAUCAUGGGCAGAUCAUCAUUCUGGACCCUCUGGUCUCCAAAGUCUCCCUUGAGGCCCUGUUGGAGAACUUUACCAAUCAUUUACAUACUUCAAGAUGCCUUGGGAUAGCUGUUGGACAAAACAAAAAACAAGCUGUUUGAGAAGAUAAAACAGAGUUGUGUCUUUUUAUGCUGUGCCUGCUAAUUGACAGAAGCUUCACAACUAUGAGUGGGAAUGUGACUAGAAGUGGCACAAAGUUAUCUAUCGUCAGGCUGGAUCUAAAGAACUAGCACCCUGCGUAUUCUAGCUCCUGAUUGUUCCCUUCAUAUCUGUCCAAUCAUUAUCUUUCCCAGAAGCAGUGCAAAGAGCAAGACAUUUGAACACACCAAAGGAAGAUCAACAUGCCUGGCACUCUAGAAUUUUAGAAUAGCAGAAUGAAUGUGUAUUUGUUUGCUUAUCUAUUUCUUCCUUGAAUGUCUUUGGUCUUUCUUCUCUAACUAAAGUGUGUCUUACCCAUUUCCAUGAUUCUCUUACUAGUUUCUUCUCUGUAUAUCUUUGUCUCAUUUUCUUUUUUGUACCCAAGAGUGGUCUGUGUCUUGUCUUAGAUGUCUCUCUCUAGUUUUUUUCAUUUUGUUACUGAUUCUCCUUGCUCUCCUAGAUCUGGCUUUUCUUUCACUGCUCUUCUCUUUGUGUCUCUUGAGUCACAUGCUGUGUGCCUUUUGCUCAUUUCUUGCUAUGCCUACCUCUCUUCUUUUUCUCUUUGUGAACUGUUUGUCACCCCCUCCCCUUGUUGGCUUGACAUUUCACCUUUUCUGAUACUGGCCACCCUUCUGCUGUUUCUACUCUUUAUCUUGCAUUGCUGUUUUCUACAUAUUCUUUCUGCCUCUCUUGGGCCAUUUUCUCUUCUUUUCCUGCUUUGUGUGCCCCAGUGUCUCUUUGUUCUUUGUGAUUUUCCAUGUCAGCAUUCAUCUCUGUGUUCUCUUAUUUCUUCUCUGCUUUUGCCUUUCUACUUACCUUUGAGUAUUUCAGUCUCUUCUUGAGUCUAUGUCUCCCCCACUUCGAUUUCAUGCAGUCCUCUCUCCUUGCAUAUUUUUUGUGCAUGUGUGUGUGCAUGCUUUUGUGUGUGUGUGUGUUUGUAACAAAGGGGCCUCCUAACCCCUUCCUAAUAGGUACAGAGUGUCAGCUAUCAAAAUAUAAGCAUUGAAGAGCUGUUCCUUAUGCCAGGCUGCCCGUGAGAUGAUCCAAGACCCAUAAAAGGCCCAAGGGUCUAGACUGGAGUUGGACGGAAGACUCAAGUCUCGGUGAGACAGAAGGCCAAAGACCCAGGAUGGGAUGAAAAGCCUUGGCUUGAAGACCUAUGACCCAAAAAUGGAAGGGCCCAAGCACACAUAAAGACCCAGGACUCAAGCCUGUCUAUACAGACAGAAGGCCCAAGAGAGACAGAUAUCUCCAGACUAAAUUAGGCGGGAAGCUGGAGGCCCAUGACCCAGAAUCCAGGAAGGAUAGAAGCCCCAAGACCAAAGGAAAUUCCAAGAUGAGAACCCUAAACCGCAGCUCUUUUCUAUUGUUCUCCUCCCUACGCUUGGACAUUUUCAGUUCUCCCUUUCCUGUUCUCAUAUCUCCGUUUAAACCCACUUCUUUUGAGAUGUCCUUUUUGAUGUUGCUGCUACUUUAAAGAAACAUACCUUUAGAUCAGUAAUAUUAUGCCUGGGCCAGUCUUAAGCCAGAUUUUAUCACAGUUUUAAGCCAUUUAUUAAGUUUUUGGUGUUUUGCAAAGUUCCAUUUCUCUUCACCUCCUCUCCACUUGAGAGGAACACAUAGGUGACAUUAUAUUUCAGUCCCCUCUUUCCUCGGAAGCUCUAGGCUGAUGAGAGAACGAAAGCAUCAGGUUACUGAGUGGAAAAAAAGUGCCAGGCUAUCUAGAGAAAAUGUGAAGAGAUGCUCCAGGCCAAUGAGAAGAACUAGACAAGAAAUACACAGAUGUGCCAGCUUGCUGAGAAGCACCAGCCAGCAACAUAUUACUUCUUUGAGCUUGGUUUCUGGCAUCCCAAGACUACCACUACUGCUAAACAAGAAUAAGAGAACAUGCUAUCAUCUGAUUUUCGUGGCAUAAAUGAAGUUGUGAACAAAUCUUUUUUUAAAAAGGAAAUGGCUUCAUCUUUAUCCUUCUACCUCAAAGGGAAUCUAUGACAAAAUGCUCCAAUGAAUGGAAGACACACUUGGACUUGUGAACUGAUGUGAAACGCAGAAUCUCUGAGCCAUGGUUGUUUUGAAGAUUGAAAAGUCUUGUUCAGCAUGGGUGACCAGCAAAAAAGCAAUCUAGAGCUGUCUGUAUGUCACAACUGAGACAAAUUGGGGAGUUUGUUGUUUAAUGUCAAAUAAAAAUGUACUGUUUUGAAAA